GCCUGCAUGGCUCAGUGGUUGAGCAUCAACCUGUGAACUAGAAGGUCAUGAUUCAAUUCCAGGUCAGGCA
This 70-nucleotide transfer RNA is filed under the name Myotis davidii. It matches the Rfam family "tRNA". From Rfam's summary of the family: Transfer RNA (tRNA) molecules are approximately 80 nucleotides in length. Their secondary structure includes four short double-helical elements and three loops (D, anti-codon, and T loops). The record is from Rfam by way of RNAcentral. Lineage: Eukaryota; Metazoa; Chordata; Mammalia; Chiroptera; Vespertilionidae.